RNAcentral lists this ribosomal RNA (560 nucleotides) under Escherichia coli. RNAcentral's name for it is "partial 23S ribosomal RNA". It matches the Rfam family "Bacterial large subunit ribosomal RNA", at positions 1 to 591 of the family's 2925-position model. Lineage: Bacteria; Pseudomonadati; Pseudomonadota; Gammaproteobacteria; Enterobacterales; Enterobacteriaceae. The record is from RNAcentral.
GGGUUGUGAGGUUAAGCGACUAAGCGUACACGGUGGAUGCCCUGGCAGUCAGAGGCGAUGAAGGACGUGCUAAUCUGCGAUAAGCGUCGGUAAGGUGAUAUGAACCGUUAUAACCGGCGAUUUCCGAAUGGGGAAACCCAGUGUGUUUCGACACACUAUCAUUAACUGAAUCCAUAGGUUAAUGAGGCGAACCGGGGGAACUGAAACAUCUAAGUACCCCGAGGAAAAGAAAUCAACCGAGAUUCCCCCAGUAGCGGCGAGCGAACGGGGAGGAGCCCAGAGCCUGAAUCAGUAUGUGUGUUAGUGGAAGCGUCUGGAAAGGCGCGCGAUACAGGGUGACAGCCCCGUACACAAAAAUGCACAUAUUGUGAGCUCGAUGAGUAGGGCGGGACACGUGGUAUCCUGUCUGAAUAUGGGGGGACCAUCCUCCAAGGCUAAAUACUCCUGACUGACCGAUAGUGAACCAGUACCGUGAGGGAAAGGCGAAAAGAACCCCGGCGAGGGGAGUGAAAAAGAACCUGAAACCGUGUACGUACAAGCAGUGGGAGCACGCUUAGGCG